AGUGAACGCUGGCGGUAGGCCUAACACAUGCGAGUCGAACGGCAGCACAGUAAGAGCUUGCUCUUACGGGUGGCGAGUGGCGGACGGGUGAGGAAUACAUCGGAAUCUACUUUUUCGUGGGGGAUAACGUAGGGAAACUUACGCUAAUACCGCAUACGACCUACGGGUGAAAGCAGGGGAUCUUCGGACCUUGCGCGAUUGAAUGAGCCGAUGUCGGAUUAGCUAGUUGGCGGGGUAAAGGCCCACCAAGGCGACGAUCCGUAGCUGGUCUGAGAGGAUGAUCAGCCACACUGGAACUGAGACACGGUCCAGACUCCUACGGGAGGCAGCAGUGGGGAAUAUUGGACAAUGGGCGCAAGCCUGAUCCAGCCGUACCGCGUGGGUGAAGAAGGCCUUCGGGUUGUAAAGCCCUUUUGUUGGGAAAGAAAAGCAGCAGGUUAAUACCCCGCUGUUCUGACGGUACCCAAAGAAUAAGCACCGGCUAACUUCG
RNAcentral lists this ribosomal RNA (490 nucleotides) under uncultured bacterium. RNAcentral's name for it is "partial 16S ribosomal RNA". It matches the Rfam family "Bacterial small subunit ribosomal RNA", at positions 29 to 505 of the family's 1533-position model. The record is from RNAcentral.